This 93-nucleotide transfer RNA is filed under the name Dreissena polymorpha. RNAcentral's name for it is "tRNA-Phe". The record is from RNAcentral. Lineage: Eukaryota; Metazoa; Mollusca; Bivalvia; Myida; Dreissenidae.
GCCGGAAUAGCUCAGUUGGGCGAGCGUUAGACUGAAGUUGUUUACGCAACAAUGAUCUAAGGGCCCCCCCCGGAUCACUCCCGGGUUCCCGCA